AGCUGAGUUUGAUCCUGGCUCAGGAUGAACGCUAGCGGCAGGCUUAACACAUGCAAGUCGAGGGGUAUAGUUCUUCGGAAUUAGAGACCGGCGCACGGGUGCGUAACGCGUAUGCAAUCUACCUUUACAGAGGGAUAGCCCAGAGAAAUUUGGAUUAAUACCUCAUAGUAUAAUGACUUGGCAUCAAGACAUUAUUAAAGUCACAACGGUAAAAGAUGAGCAUGCGUCCCAUUAGCUAGUUGGUAAGGUAACGGCUCACCAAGACUUUGAUUGGUAGGGGAACUGAGAGGUCAAUCCCCCACACUGGCACUGAGAUACGGGCCAGACUCCUACGGGAGGCAGCAGUAGGGGAAUAUUUGGGCAAUGGACGCAAGUCUGACCCCAGCCCAUGCCGCGUGAGUGACGAAGGUCUUCGGAUUGUAAAGCUCUUUGGCGGGGGUACGAUAAUGACUGUACCCUAAG
RNAcentral lists this ribosomal RNA (462 nucleotides) under uncultured Flavobacterium sp. Its description in RNAcentral is "bacterial SSU rRNA". It matches the Rfam family "Bacterial small subunit ribosomal RNA", at positions 1 to 484 of the family's 1533-position model. Lineage: Bacteria; Pseudomonadati; Bacteroidota; Flavobacteriia; Flavobacteriales; Flavobacteriaceae. The record is from RNAcentral.